UCGCACACCCGUUAAGCCAACUAUCCGCACUUCUCACGAAUAGUCGCGAACCCGCUCAGCCGCCUCCGCUCACCGCUCCGGCCGCCCUUCGCCUACCGCGUUGCCUCCACCUCCCUCCUCCGCUUGCAGCACUACCCGCCGAUGUCCGCCUGCCAAAGCAACGCACCGACAUCAUCUUUCCAUCCCCGUGGCUCUUCCCCUUGCGGCCUUGCCACAGCCGCCGUGUCAUCACCCACCGCCAUCGUCUCCAGCCACCUACCUCCUCUCUUCUCCACUCUCAGUCCCACCCCCUCUAUUUCGACGUGGGCAGCGCCAGGUACACCGCUCCCCCUCCAAGAGCUUUUCUGCCCCUCCAUCACCAUUGCCACGGAGCCGUCGUCCAUCUGCAGCUCGCGUGAGCGGCAAAACGACGCGACGGCGGUGCGAUUAAGAGCUCCUCUAGGCCUCCCUCUGCUGGGCCCGCGCAUUGCAGACCUCGAGAGCAGCUCGCAUGACUGCAGGUCGACGCAAUGCCAAGUUGCCAACGCGAGUAGCAACUCCAGCCAUGGCCUUUAGAUGUGCAGCUCAGCCAUUGACUCCACUGUCUGCAAGAAAGUACCUAAUGGACCUCUUAUUAUGGGAUGUAAGAGUUGGAGUUCUAUGGAUUGUUGGCGGUAUCUGUACAUACAUACUUUAUCACUCAGCUGUCCUGGUACUGUGAAAUGGGCAUCUAGACUUGGCCGAGACUGAGAGAAUCACAAUAACCUCGCUCAGUUUAUGUUGGUUAUGGGCUACAACACUGAAGGUGUUCAUUCGGUGAUUAUGAAUUCUACUCCUCCGUUCCAAAUUAUAAGUCAUUUCGAGAAUCUUGGAGAGUCAAACCAUCUCAAAAUUUGACCAAAAUUAUAGAGAGAAACACAAAGAUUUAUGACAUCAAAUAGGUAUACUAUAAAAAUAUA
Panicum virgatum (switchgrass) is the source of this 938-nucleotide long non-coding RNA. RefSeq lists it as uncharacterized. The transcript is spliced from 4 exons. Lineage: Eukaryota; Viridiplantae; Streptophyta; Magnoliopsida; Poales; Poaceae. The record is from RefSeq and is a predicted model, not a curated record.